AGUUCUACUGCAGACGGGGACCGCGUGCUGCGCUCGCACCCAGCCCGAGCGGGCCUGCUGACCUCUUCACCUGCACUGGCCUGACUCAGGGCAAUGGGGUCUUCGUGAAUUUUCACCUGUUAUUUCUCUCAUUAUGGAUGAGGCUGAGUAUCUGAUGUGCUGGGACCACCCACAUUUCCUUCUUCAAAGAAACUGUCCAUAGUCUUUGUUCUUUCCUUUUGAGUGGCUGGCAAAUGUCUUCCUGGUUCAUAGGAACUCCAUACCUAUUAGGAAAAUUACACUUCGGGAGAGAGAUUGUAUAAGAUAUCCGUGGUUUCCGAUGGAGUGGCGGCUGGUUUUGCUGACACACGUCUCAGACCCACCUGGAAUUUACUAGGACGCAGGAGAUAAGUAGGGUUUACCUUUGUGUUUUCCCAAGUGGCUGCCCGGUUGCAUCAACCCCCUUUAUUGGAUGGCUCAUCUUUUGCCCACUGCUGGGAAAUGUUCCUCUGCAUGUACGAGAUGAGUGUGUUGGCUAUCAGGGAGAAUAUUUCUACUUAAAGAAUGUCCGGCUUCUACUGAGCACUAGAAACAGUGCUGGUAAGGACGUGGUGGCAUCGGAAUGCUGUGCGCGGCUGGGCGGAUGUGCUCUGGGGCAGCCGUGAGGGAGGGCGUCUGGAGGUCCCUCAAACAACUAGAACAGUUACCAGAUGAUCUGGCAAUUCGAGUUCUGGGUAAACACCCGAAAGAACUGAAAGCAGGGUUCUGAAGAGAUAUGUGUUCACCCGUGUUCACAGUAGCGCUAUUCACAAGAGCCAAGAGAUGGAGGCCACCCAGUGUCUGCGGAUGGGCAGACCCGAGGCAGUGUGCACACGAACGCAGCAUCACGCAGCCCUAAAAAGGAAGGACAUUCUGGGGCACCUGGGUGGCUGUUGGUUAGGCAUCUGACUCUCAGUUUUGGCUCAGGUCAUGAUCUCAGGGUCAUGGGACCUAGCUGCGUCAGGCUCUGUGCUCAGCACUGAGUCUGCCUGAGAUUCUCUGUCUCUCUCCCUCCGCCCCUCCCACUUGUGUGCACGCAUUCUCUCUCUCUCUAAAAUAAAUAAAUAAAUUAAAAAAAAAAAAAAAAAGGAAGGAAGUCCUGACACCUGCUACCACACGGAUGAACCCCGAUGACGUGACAUCCAGGGAAACAAGCUGGACCCAGGACAAAUCCUGUAGGA
This is a long non-coding RNA of Mirounga angustirostris (Northern elephant seal), 1199 nucleotides long. RefSeq lists it as uncharacterized. The record is from RefSeq and is a predicted model, not a curated record. The transcript is spliced from 3 exons. Lineage: Eukaryota; Metazoa; Chordata; Mammalia; Carnivora; Phocidae.